UAGCCUAUGGGAGGCAGCAGAGAGGAAUAUUGGUCAAUGGGCUUACGCCUGAACCAGCCAAGUCGCGUGAGGGAAGACUGCCCUAUGGGUUGUAAACCUCUUUUGUCAGGGAGCAACGCCGGCUACGUGUAGCCGGACUGAGAGUACCUGAAGAAAAAGCAUCGGCUAACUCCGUGCCAGCAGCCGCGGUAAUACGUAGGAUGCGAGCGUGAUCCGGAUUUAUUGGGUUUAAAGGGAGCGUAGGCGGAAUGCCAAGUCAGCGGUAAAAUAGCGGG
Molecule: ribosomal RNA, 275 nt
Filed under: uncultured bacterium
Lineage: Bacteria
Description: partial 16S ribosomal RNA
Rfam family: Bacterial small subunit ribosomal RNA
Source: RNAcentral